ACGCACGCUGGCGGCGUGCUUAACGCAUGCCAGUCGAACGGAAAGGCCCCUUUGGGGGUACUCGAGUGGCGAACGGGUGAGUAACACGUGAGUAACCUGCCCUUGACUUCGGGAUAACUUCAGGAAACUGGGGCUAAUACCGGAUAGGAAUCCUUGCUGCAUGGUGGGGGUUGGAAAGCUUCGGCGGUUUUGGAUGGACUCGCGGCUUAUCAGCUUGUUGGUGGGGUAGUGGCUUACCAAGGCUUUGACGGGUAGCCGGCCUGAGAGGGCGACCGGCCACAUUGGGACUGAGAUACGGCCCAGACUCCUACGGGAGGCAGCAGUGGGGAAUAUUGCACAAUGGGCGGAAGCCUGAUGCAGCAACGCCGCGUGCGGGAUGACGGCCUUCGGGUUGUAAACCGCUUUCAGCAGGGGCGAAGCUUGUGGUGACGGUACCUGCAGAAGAAGCACCGGCUAACUACGUG
RNAcentral lists this ribosomal RNA (464 nucleotides) under uncultured bacterium. RNAcentral's name for it is "partial 16S ribosomal RNA". It matches the Rfam family "Bacterial small subunit ribosomal RNA", at positions 29 to 507 of the family's 1533-position model. The record is from RNAcentral.